UGCAAGUCGAACGAGAAGCUAGACUUCGGUUUAGUGGACAGUGGCAGACGGGAGAGUAACGCGUGGGUAUCUACCCAGCAGUACGGGAUAACCGCGGGAAACUGCGGUUAAUACCGUAUGCGCCCCCCUUGGUAAAACUUGGGGGGGAAAGAUUUAUCGCUGUUGGAUGAGCCCGCGUCGGAUUAGCUUGUUGGCGGGGUAACGGCCCACCAAGGCGACGAUCCGUAGCUGGUCUGAGAGGAUGAUCAGCCUCACUGGGACUGAGACACGGCCCAGACUCCUACGGGAGGCAGCAGUGGGGAAUAUUGGACAAUGGGCGCAAGCCUGAUCCAGCCAUGCCGCGUGAGUGAAGAAGGCCCUAGGGUUGUAAAACUCUUUCAGUGGGGAAGAUAAUGACGGUACCCACAGAAGAAGCCCCGGCUAACUCCGUGCCAGCAGCCGCGGUAAUACGGAGGGGGCUAGCGUUGUUCGGAUUUACUGGGCGUAAAGCGCGCGUAGGCGGUUCGCGUAGUCAGGCGUGAAAGCCCCGGGCUCAACCUGGGAACUGCGUUUGAUACUGGCGAGCUAGAGUUCGGGAGAGGGUAGUGGAAUUCCCAGUGUAGAGGUGAAAUUCGUAGAUAUUGGGAAGAACACCAGUGGCGAAGGCGGCUACCUGGACCGAUACUGACGCUGAGGUGCG
RNAcentral lists this ribosomal RNA (679 nucleotides) under uncultured bacterium. RNAcentral describes it as "bacterial SSU rRNA". It matches the Rfam family "Bacterial small subunit ribosomal RNA", at positions 56 to 755 of the family's 1533-position model. The record is from RNAcentral.